ACUCCUUAUACCCCAUCUAAUAAUGUGGCUUUCUUA
RNAcentral lists this transfer RNA (36 nucleotides) under Mammut americanum (American mastodon). RNAcentral describes it as "partial tRNA-Ser". Lineage: Eukaryota; Metazoa; Chordata; Mammalia; Proboscidea; Mammutidae. The record is from RNAcentral.